GGUUAAGCGACUAAGCGUACACGGUGGAUGCCCUGGCAGUCAGAGGCGAUGAAGGGCGUGCUAAUCUGCGAUAAGCGCCGGUAAGGUGAUAUGAACCGUUAUAACCGGCGAUACCCGAAUGGGGAAACCCAGUGUGAUUCGUCACACUAUCAUUAACUGAAUCCAUAGGUUAAUGAGGCGAACCGGGGGAACUGAAACAUCUAAGUACCCCGAGGAAAAGAAAUCAACCGAGAUUCCCCCAGUAGCGGCGAGCGAACGGGGAGGAGCCCAGAGCCUGAAUCAGCAUGUGUGUUAGUGGAAGCGUCUGGAAAGGCGCGCGAUACAGGGUGACAGCCCCGUACACAAAAGCGCAUGUGCUGUGAGCUCGAUGAGUAGGGCGGGACACGUGGUAUCCUGUCUGAAUAUGGGGGGACCAUCCUCCAAGGCUAAAUACUCCUGACUGACCGAUAGUGAACCAGUACCGUGAGGGAAAGGCGAAAAGAACCCCGGCGAGGGGAGUGAAAAAGAACCUGAAACCGUGUACGUACAAGCAGUGGGAGCACCCUUCGGGGUGUGACUGCGUACCUUUUGUAUAAUGGGUCAGCGACUUAUAUUCUGUAGCAAGGUUAACCGUAUAGGGGAGCCGGAGGGAAACCGAGUCUUAAUUGGGCGUUAAGUUGCAGGGUAUAGACCCGAAACCCGGUGAUCUAGCCAUGGGCAGGUUGAAGGUUGGGUAACACUAACUGGAGGACCGAACCGACUAAUGUUGAAAAAUUAGCGGAUGACCUGUGGCUGGGGGUGAAAGGCCAAUCAAACCGGGAGAUAGCUGGUUCUCCCCGAAAGCUAUUUAGGUAGCGCCUCGUGAAUUCAUCUCCGGGGGUAGAGCACUGUUUCGGCUAGGGGGCCAUCCCGGCUUACCAACCCGAUGCAAACUGCGAAUACCGGAGAAUGUUAUCACGGGAGACACACGGCGGGUGCUAACGUCCGUCGUGAAGAGGGAAACAACCCAGACCGCCAGCUAAGGUCCCAAAGUCAUGGUUAAGUGGGAAACGAUGUGGGAAGGCCCAGACAGCCAGGAUGUUGGCUUAGAAGCAGCCAUCAUUUAAAGAAAGCGUAAUAGCUCACUGGUCGAGUCGGCCUGCGCGGAAGAUGUAACGGGGCUAAACCAUGCACCGAAGCUGCGGCAGCGAACGUAUCACCCAAGACAACUUUACGGAGUUGACGAUUGACGGAGCGAAGCGACGUCAAAGCGUUCAUUAAAGUCGAGUUGGCUUAGGGAUACGUUCGUUGGGUAGGGGAGCGUUCUGUAAGCCUGUGAAGGUGUGUCGUGAGGCAUGCUGGAGGUAUCAGAAGUGCGAAUGCUGACAUAAGUAACGAUAAAGCGGGUGAAAAGCCCGCUCGCCGGAAGACCAAGGGUUCCUGUCCAACGUUAAUCGGGGCAGGGUGAGUCGACCCCUAAGGCGAGGCCGAAAGGCGUAGUCGAUGGGAAACGGGUUAAUAUUCCCGUACUUGGUGUUACUGCGAAGGGGGGACGGAGAAGGCUAUGUUGGCCGGGCGACGGUUGUCCCGGUUUAAGGGUGUAGGUGUGUGUUCCAGGUAAAUCCGGUUCACUUUAACACUGAGGCGUGACGACGAGGCACUACGGUGCUGAAGCAACAAAUGCCCUGCUUCCAGGAAAAGCCUCUAAGCAUCAGGUAACACGAAAUCGUACCCCAAACCGACACAGGUGGUCAGGUAGAGAAUACCAAGGCGCUUGAGAGAACUCGGGUGAAGGAACUAGGCAAAAUGGUGCCGUAACUUCGGGAGAAGGCACGCUGACACGUAGGUGAAGUGAUUUACUCAUGGAGCUGAAGUCAGUCGAAGAUACCAGCUGGCUGCAACUGUUUAUUAAAAACACAGCACUGUGCAAACACGAAAGUGGACGUAUACGGUGUGACGCCUGCCCGGUGCCGGAAGGUUAAUUGAUGGGGUCAGCGUAAGCGAAGCUCCUGAUCGAAGCCCCGGUAAACGGCGGCCGUAACUAUAACGGUCCUAAGGUAGCGAAAUUCCUUGUCGGGUAAGUUCCGACCUGCACGAAUGGCGUAAUGAUGGCCAGGCUGUCUCCACCCGAGACUCAGUGAAAUUGAACUCGCUGUGAAGAUGCAGUGUACCCGCGGCAAGACGGAAAGACCCCGUGAACCUUUACUAUAGCUUGACACUGAACAUUGAGCCUUGAUGUGUAGGAUAGGUGGGAGGCUUUGAAGUGUGGACGCCAGUCUGCAUGGAGCCGACCUUGAAAUACCACCCUUUAAUGUUUGAUGUUCUAACGUGGACCCGUAAUCCGGGUUGCGGACAGUGUCUGGUGGGUAGUUUGACUGGGGCGGUCUCCUCCUAAAGAGUAACGGAGGAGCACGAAGGUUGGCUAAUCCUGGUCGGACAUCAGGAGGUUAGUGCAAUGGCAUAAGCCAGCUUGACUGCGAGCGUGACGGCGCGAGCAGGUGCGAAAGCAGGUCAUAGUGAUCCGGUGGUUCUGAAUGGAAGGGCCAUCGCUCAACGGAUAAAAGGUACUCCGGGGAUAACAGGCUGAUACCGCCCAAGAGUUCAUAUCGACGGCGGUGUUUGGCACCUCGAUGUCGGCUCAUCACAUCCUGGGGCUGAAGUAGGUCCCAAGGGUAUGGCUGUUCGCCAUUUAAAGUGGUACGCGAGCUGGGUUUAGAACGUCGUGAGACAGUUCGGUCCCUAUCUGCCGUGGGCGCUGGAGAACUGAGGGGGGCUGCUCCUAGUACGAGAGGACCGGAGUGGACGCAUCACUGGUGUUCGGGUUGUCAUGCCAAUGGCACUGCCCGGUAGCUAAAUGCGGAAGAGAUAAGUGCUGAAAGCAUCUAAGCACGAAACUUGCCCCGAGAUGAGUUCUCCCUGAGACUUAGAGUCUCCUGAAGGAACGUUGAAGACGACGACGUUGAUAGGCCGGGUGUGUAAGCGCAGCGAUGCGUUGAGCUAACCGGUACUAAUGAACCGUGAGGCUUAACCUUAC
This 2992-nucleotide ribosomal RNA is filed under the name Salmonella enterica subsp. enterica serovar Typhimurium str. D23580. Its description in RNAcentral is "bacterial LSU rRNA". It matches the Rfam family "Bacterial large subunit ribosomal RNA". Lineage: Bacteria; Pseudomonadati; Pseudomonadota; Gammaproteobacteria; Enterobacterales; Enterobacteriaceae. The record is from RNAcentral.